CACCGAUAUGGUGGAAAUUAAUCGCCCCCCCCCCCCCCCCCCAAAAAAAAAAAUACUAUUAGGCCACAUAAAAUAAAUUCCUUGAUUCUCAUCACUACACUUUGAAAAUGUCGAAGAGGCGGGAGGUUUAUAUUUUAUAUUUAUUUAUUAUAUAAAGUAUAGUGCUUUAUAGAGAUUUCGAGCACUGAUAAAACUGAUAAUCUCGCAUGUGAGAACUGAGAUUAUUUAUGAUAAUCUCACAUGUGAAAAUUAUCGCUUUUCAAAUAUCGCUUUUCUGUACAAAUUAUCGCUUUUCAAAGACUGUCCUUUAUAUAAUAAACAGAAAAAUACAUGGGUGCUUGGAAAUACCAGAUUUAUUUCUCGUGUUGAACAUGAUAUCUCACUCGUUCGGUUCGCUCACACGUGAGAUAUCAUGUUCAACACUCGAAAUAAAUAUGGUAUUUCCGCGCACCAUGUAUUAUUCUCUAUAUAAUUUAUAUAUCAAUAAGCUUCAAUAAAUAAAAAAUAAUUCCUAACAUUUAAUAUUUUUGCGAUUUCCAAAGUGAAGUGUCACAAACCGAAAUAAACAUAUUUCUCCACAAACAUUGACUGAACCCCUGAACUGAAUGCGAAGUUCCUUUAAAAUGCAAUGAAAUUUCUUUCAAGGUUCUGUUUGUUUCAAAUUGGCAGUUUACUAUAAAAUGGCACUAAAAACCCAAUAUAAAAUAUAAAAAACUUAACUGUCUUGAAAUAUUUUGUCGGGCGGUUCAUUUAUAUUGUAUAACAAAAUAUAAAAAAUUUUCACACGGCUCUGAAAAUACAGUUGGGCGGUGAUGAGAAUCAAGGAAUUUAUUUUACACUCUCAAAAUUUUCAG
Paramuricea clavata is the source of this 854-nucleotide non-coding RNA. NCBI's taxonomy places the organism in Eukaryota, Metazoa, Cnidaria, Anthozoa, Malacalcyonacea, Plexauridae. The record is from the annotation of a GenBank genome assembly.